This 73-nucleotide transfer RNA is filed under the name Planctomycetaceae bacterium. Its description in RNAcentral is "tRNA-Lys". It matches the Rfam family "tRNA". From Rfam's summary of the family: Transfer RNA (tRNA) molecules are approximately 80 nucleotides in length. RNAcentral also lists the same sequence under 2 other names. Lineage: Bacteria; Pseudomonadati; Planctomycetota; Planctomycetia; Planctomycetales; Planctomycetaceae. The record is from RNAcentral.
GCCCCUGUAGCUCAACUGGCAGAGCAACUGACUCUUAAUCAGUAGGUUCAAGGUUCGAGUCCUUGCGGGGGCA